GUGUGUGUGUGUGUGUGUGUGGAGCAAACCCUUUUCCAUAUUUUCUUAAUUAUCUUUUCCUAAACAAUUAGUCAUAAGUAUUUCUGUUGCAGUAAAUGGUAUCAUGGCUAACAUAUAUUUGUCUUUCGAGUCUAGUUAAAAGAAGAUCAUUCAAUUUAUGACUAUAUAUUUCAUAGGAAAGAAAGACACUAAUAUCGUAAACUUGACAACAUUCCAUAAGUUCAUCUACAUUGUGACACACUAAAAACAGAGAAUCGAAGAUGUUAAGUGUCUAGCAGAAUUCUUGUAACCUUGAAUUGCUAUGGUAUAUUAUGUAUUAUAUAGGAUUUUGAAAUGUUUUAAUUUAAACCUCAUAUAUGAAACUCAUAGGGAAAAAAUAUAUAUGAAGGCUUCAUGAAAUAAUCACCUUUGUGUCAUCAGUAUGCCCAUCGCCUUUAGCACCAUAGUCAAGGACAUUAAAGGUGGAAGCAGAGCUCUGUCCUUUCUGAGUUGCCAUAGUUUCAUCCGGCGAAAUGUAAUAAGAAUCCGUGAACUUUGACAAGCUGCGGCCAUGGUGAUGACUCUGCAUAGACACAGAGGCUGCUGGGGCAGUUUUGCUUUGCCUCCAGUACUUGCCUUGUCUUGCAUGGCAAGGUUCAAUUCUUGCAGACCAAGCAAAUAAGAUAAUGAUGAGGAUGGUGAUUAGUGAAAGGUUCUCAAGAUUGAAGCCACCCAUUUUGAUCAUGUGAAGGAUGAUUCUUUUCUUUAAUUAGAUGACUAAUGAAGAAGAAGAAGAAAAAUGGGUUUUCUAUAUGUGCCAAUGUGGAAGAUGAGUGGAUUUUAUGUGAUCUAUUUUGAGAUUGGUGGACGUGAAUUUAUAGGGAGAAGGUAGUCUAAGGUCAUGGCACUAUUCAGGCAUAUGAUAAACAGUUACAUUAAAGACGGGUUUCUUCCUUCUUCAAUUUUCUUAGUUCGUCUAUUUGUGUCCCACGUUUGAUGUGAUAGUAUAUUAUUAUUUGUUUUAUCUCUCAAUUAUUCUAUUGAUUCACUGUAGUUGCCUGCAUGACCAGCUUAAGCUUGUUGACAAUAAAAUAGAAAAUAAUCAUCAUAGAUGAGGAUUUGUAA
This 1104-nucleotide unclassified non-coding RNA is filed under the name Hevea brasiliensis (rubber tree). Lineage: Eukaryota; Viridiplantae; Streptophyta; Magnoliopsida; Malpighiales; Euphorbiaceae. The record is from RNAcentral.